RNAcentral lists this small RNA (193 nucleotides) under Kocuria flava. RNAcentral describes it as "c-di-AMP sequence". The stretch from base 42 to 193 matches the Rfam family "c-di-AMP riboswitch aptamer (ydaO/yuaA leader)". Rfam says of the family: This family represents a conserved RNA structure found upstream of the ydaO and yuaA genes in Bacillus subtilis and related genes in other bacteria. Lineage: Bacteria; Bacillati; Actinomycetota; Actinomycetes; Micrococcales; Micrococcaceae. The record is from RNAcentral.
CGGAGCACAUCGCCGAAUUCUGCCGGUGCCCGGGGUCCGAAACACAGAAACUGCUUGGCAGAAGCGGGGGAACCACUUUCCGGUCCCGGUCCGUCCGGGUCCUUGGGGUUAAGCCGCAGGGGCGUCCGCGCCCCGCGACCGGGUGUCUCCCACCCGAACCCGACAGCUCACCUCGUAGGCAAAGGGAGGAACA